Molecule: non-coding RNA, 72 nt
Organism: Heterocephalus glaber (naked mole-rat)
Lineage: Eukaryota; Metazoa; Chordata; Mammalia; Rodentia; Bathyergidae
Source: Rfam
AGGGGUGUAGCUCAGUGGUAGAGCCCUUGCCUAGCAUGUAAGAGGCCCUGGGUCCAAUCCCUAGCACCACUA